Molecule: ribosomal RNA, 468 nt
Filed under: uncultured bacterium
Lineage: Bacteria
Description: partial 16S ribosomal RNA
Rfam family: Bacterial small subunit ribosomal RNA
Source: RNAcentral
GACGAACGCUGGCGGCGUGCUUAACACAUGCCAGUCGAACGGAAAGGCCCUGCUUUUGUGGGGUGCUCGAGUGGCGAACGGGUGAGUAACACGUGAGUAACCUGCCCUUGACUUUGGGAUAACUUCAGGAAACUGGGGCUAAUACCGGAUAGGAGCUCCUGCUGCAUGGUGGGGGUUGGAAAGUUUCGGCGGUUGGGGAUGGACUCGCGGCUUAUCAGCUUGUUGGUGGGGUAGUGGCUUACCAAGGCUUUGACGGGUAGCCGGCCUGAGAGGGUGACCGGCCACAUUGGGACUGAGGUACGGCCCAGACUCCUACGGGAGGCAGCAGUGGGGAAUAUUGCACAAUGGGCGGAAGCCUGAUGCAGCAACGCCGCGUGCGGGAUGACGGCCUUCGGGUUGUAAACCGCUUUCGCCUGUGACGAAGCGUGAGUGACGGUAAUGGGUAAAGAAGCACCGGCUAACUACGUG